AUAUAAAUAAGCGGAGGAAAAGAAACCAACAGGGACUGCACAGUAGCGGCGAGCGAAGCUGCACAAGCUCAGGGUUGAAAUCUGCGGCAACGCAGAAUUGUAGUCUAGAGACGCGGAGCGGCGCGGCGCAGCGGCCUCGCAAGUCCCUUGGAAGAGGGCGCCGGAGAGGGUGAGAGCCCCGUGGCGAGGCGCGUUGUGCUGUGCGAUUUGCGUUCGAAGAGUCGGGCUGUUUGAGAUCGCAGCCCAAAGCGGGAGGUAAAUUUCUUCCAAAGCUAAGUAUGGGCGGGAGACCGAUAGCGCACAAGUA
Molecule: ribosomal RNA, 307 nt
Filed under: uncultured eukaryote
Lineage: Eukaryota
Description: partial large subunit ribosomal RNA
Rfam family: Eukaryotic large subunit ribosomal RNA
Source: RNAcentral